Cynoglossus semilaevis (tongue sole) is the source of this 4630-nucleotide long non-coding RNA. RefSeq lists it as uncharacterized. The transcript is spliced from 2 exons. The record is from RefSeq and is a predicted model, not a curated record. NCBI's taxonomy places the organism in Eukaryota, Metazoa, Chordata, Actinopteri, Pleuronectiformes, Cynoglossidae.
UGCGCCCCCCCCCACUCUGACAUGACAACAGGGACUCACGUCAGACUUACGUCAGAAUUCUGUUCUUACGGUGCGACGUUACUCGAUUUUCGUAAGUUGGAACUCACUGUGCUGUACAUAAAUACCUGUGUCACUCGUCUACGCUAGCACGGCGCUAACAUCGUAAUCUAGAACAGGGGUGUCAAACAUACGGCCCGUGGGCCAGAUCCGGCCCACUUGGGUGUUCGAUUCGGCCCACUUGAUGAAUUUUCAAAACAAAAAUUCUACACAAACACUUCAUGUUCAUGAGGUUUUUUGUACAAAAUAUUAUUAUUUCAUGAAAUAUGAAUAAUGAAUCCAAAUAAAUAUCUUAUAUACUUGCACUUCUUUGCAUGAAAACGGGGCCUUGUUUGUUAUUGUAAGUUAUCAUUUUUUUAUGGUGAGAUUGUACUGGUCCGGCCCACUUGAAAUCGACUGUAAUUACGUGUCCCCUGAACCAAUGAAUGAGUUUGACACCCCUGGUCUAGGACAUCAAAACAUCAGAAGAGUCCAACUUACGCCCUGGAGCCAUAUUGAAAGGCAAAAAAAAAGGCAAAAAAGAAAGCAAAUGUAGCACAAUCCAAUGUAUGGCGUUUUAACCGACGCGGAAUUUGUUUAGUUGCCGUACGUCAAAAUAAUAAACGUAGGAGACGGCAACGUAACCACGAAACACCGUAGGUCGAGGACGUCGCAAACCGAGGACCUCCUGUGUUAGACUCCACAUACUGCAUACUACCGCCUCACCUGGGACCUAGUGUAGUCCAGGUUUGUUUUACUUCAUUUUACAAAAGUAUUAUUGAUGUAAUACAAACAACAAAAACGCUGUGGGAUCAAAAGACAAAAAUUAAAAAAAAAAUAAAACCAGUAUGAUAAAGCAGAACACCUCAGUCAGUCCAUGCUGGAGCCUGGGUGUCCAGAGAACUCAGCAGUAAAAAAAAAAUUAAAAAAAAAAAAAACAAAAACCGAGUGCAUGUUUACAGAACCUUUACAUUUACUGAAGGAAUGUUUUUUUUUUUCCACAGCCUGGAGUGUACAUAUCUGUUGUAUGUAUGUAUGAUAUUUUAUCUGAAGGUAACGUGCAUCGCCGCAUGCCUGCUGAAACAAAAGAAAAGUGAACAAAAAAAAGAAAAGAAAUAGGGUGCAUACAAUCUAUUCAGACCUUCACAAGCUUAAAGGGACAGUUCAGCCGAAAUAAAAUGUAAAAAAAAAAAAAAAAAAAAAAACUCAAUCGCCGCCAUGAUAACUAGAUUAAGAGCACUGCCCUUUCUGUGGUGAACUGUCCCUUUAAGCCCCUUUUUUUAUUUAUUUGGUAUUUUCUUUUACUUUCAAUAUAAUUUUUUUCGGAGGGAUUGGGGGGAAAAGAGGGUUUGAAGAAACUUGGAAAAUGAAAAAAGAAUUCUUACAGAAAUAUUCUGGUACUAUACUGUAGAUGAUGCACCAUCCUUACACACACACACACACACACACGCACAGAACUCUUUCCUGUUCUGUAAAACUGUAAACGAAUCAACUGCCUUAACAAAUAAAUGUUGCUCCAUGCUCGUGCCCAAGGCUCCACAUGCACACAGACAGUCGUCGGGAGAUAAAAUGAAAUUUACCCAAGGUAAACACUGGGUUUAAACGGUCCCACCCCCGAUUAACAAAAUAUAGAUUUAAACUGGGGCUGUCAAACAUACAGCCCGUGGGCCAUAACUGGCCCGCCCGCAGGUUCAAUCCGGCCAAAAUGAAGGUGAUGUUUUGUCAAAUUAUAUUCCGUUAAAUAUGAAAAUGUAUCGUGGUAGUUGCGUUCCAAGGCCCAUCGCGAAAUGGGAAAAAUUGCGAAGUACAGGCAAGAUAGUUAAUAUAUUAUUUACGUAUAUAUUUACCCUUUCGCACGCAAUUAUAUCCACAGUAGAGUUGAAUAAUGGCGACGCAGAGCGAAGUGAACGACUCAGUUAGCCAAUAGUACACCGAGUCCACAUUGUAUUAGCCAAUAGUAUUCUGUGUACGAUGUGUCGCUCGGAAUCUACAUUUUGAAAGCCAAAGGUUUCCUAUGUGUAAUUAUUUUGUAUUGUCUUUUAGUUUAUUUUUUUGCUAUAUUUUGGGAGAUCGGAUUUUUUUAAAAAUUUGCGAUGUACUGAGGGAACGAAAGGAGAACUGCGAUAUAGAGAGGGGACACUGUAUACUGUAUACUGGUCUAAACAUUUAGGUUUGUUUUGUUUUUUUUAAAUCAACAAUUCUCAGAAAAUUAAGAACCUGAGAAUUGUUUGAAUUGAACAGUAAAGAACAGGAAUGUACCUCAGUGCAGAGCUGCUGUUAAAAAAAAAUCCAGAGAAGAAGAAACCAGGUCAAGUGAUUGGUAGUGUUAUAGACUACCUCAGUGUUAAAGCAGACUGAUUACUGUCAGUGAUACAUUUAAAAAACAUGGCUGGAUCAAUUUUUUUUUUUUUCAAGGUGCAUGUCUUUCCUCCAGUAAAAACAUCCAAAUCCGUGAACUCCACCGUAUUAUGGUUUCGGACAUGUCUGAAAAGUGAUGGGUGACGUGAGGAAUAUUCAACCGCCACAUGAAACCAACAUGCUAGAUGGUGCUGAAUUCUAUGCACUGUACCUUUAAGUCAAUGCAGCAGCAGAGAGAGUUGUGCAUGGUUAGCCAUUUUAAGCUGCAAAGUUUAUGGUGUGAGUAGUGGAUUCUAACAGCUGUGGAAUAAAAGCUACUGCAAAGUUGUAAAAUCCAUACGUUUUCCUUCGAAUUAGUCCCGAGCGGCUGUUAGCAGAAGAAGAAAAAAGGGCCCCCGUUGGUCGUUUCUCCACUCAGCCCCGUGGUGAUGGUUCUAUGAAAUGUCAGAUUCCAUUUGAGAACUGAGCAGAAAAAUGAGGUGGAGAGUGAGUAAUAGUUCCUGCUCCUGCAUGUCUUUCUGCUGUUGUGAACACCUGCAGCUCUUCAUGUGUGCAGUAAACAGAGGAGAAAAUGUCCAGACUCAGAUUUCUACCUAGAGUUCAUGUUCAGUAAUGGGAAUAGCACAGGUCAGGCAGUAGGGUUGCGGGUUUGAUUUCCCCCUUGGUAGGUUACGUGUAUACCAACCUGCGUAGUACUGUAUUAGUACAGACCUCAAACCCUAAACAUUUCUGAUAAUAUCGGUCGGUUGAUAUUAGCAUGAUGAUGUAAUAACAAAAAUAAUUUUGUUUUGCACAGACAAUGCUAAUGCCUUUAGUGGGGCGUCGCAACAAAAGUCGCUAAUGUGUUAUAUCCACGACAGGUGAUGUUACCUAAAAAUUGUUUUGGGGAAAGACAGCGGCUUGAUCAAUAUCGGUUGAUAUCGGAAUUGGAAAUUUCCGAUAAUAUCGCCCUACUAAUAUUAUCGGUCCGAUAUUAGCAUAUCAGUAGGAAUUGUUAUCGAUUUUUCCUUCAAUAAUGUAAACCCGAUAACGCAAUGUCUGGGUUUAGCCAAAUAUGCUGGAAUCACUUUAGAUUUUGUUUUGUACAGACGAUGCUAAUUUGUGAAAUGCCUUUAGUGGGACAUCGCAAUCAAAGUCGCUAAUGUGUUAUAUCCACAACAGGAGAUAUGUGAUGUUACCUAAAAAUAGUUUACGGGGGAAACAGCGGCAUGUAUCGGUAUGGGUUGAUAUCGGAAUCAGAAAUAAAGUGUUUGGACGAUAUCGGAUAUCGGUGUUUUAGCUGCCUUUUUCUUAGACAUUGAAUUUUUUUCCGUCUUUGUGAAAAAGAUGUGGGAGAAACUUUCUGUUGCAGGGUCAAAUUUUUAGCAAUUCAUAUCUAUUUAUACUGCGUCUUCUUCCCGGUAUCGUACUCCCAACUCUGUUUCAUGUGAGGGCAGUGGUGUUUGGGUUCCAGCCCCCUCCAUUUUUUUCUUUGUUAUUGUGGUCCAAACAGUCGUAGUUUAGUCUCGUGUGACUCUGAGAUGAUUCGGUUUUUCUGUAGUGAGUCAAUACAUUUUCGACACAUAAAAUCUGGUCUAUUUAUUCAAGUGCAGAUUUGGAAGUGGUCUAAGUGGGUGGUUCCAAUCCCACGGACAGUCAAGGAAAAUGUCCUGUCGCUCUUUGCGGUACACCCCCAUCGCUGCUUUUCAUUUUAUUGGUACAUUUAGUCUCUCAGUCCUGGUUCGUCCAGAACAUUCUCCCUCUGCACGCUGUCGGUUCGACUGGUUUUCACACAUCUGUAGUGUAUUGUUAUCGAAGGCGUGUUUUCCUACGACACGAGCGGCUCGAACAACACCGAUCCUCGGGUGAUUCUUCCUUUGGCCUUUUCUACGACUGCCUCCACUGCUAAGAUAACAAGGCAGGAAUUAUCUUCACAAGUGCUAUUAAUAGCAGGCGAGUCACAUCUUGUCCCUCAGAGAGAUAGCAUCCUGCACCCCAGGCAAGACUUUUCUUUUUCAUAGUUGUUUUUUUUUUUUUUUUUUUUCUUUUAUGUGUUUGACAGGCGUGUACACGCAGGAACAGACUGUCCAGACGCUCACUUACUACCAUUAUCCCAGUAUCUCAGCUACUGAUGGCUGUUGAUUUAGCUGUGGCUACUUUAAUGAUUAGGUUACCGUCGGGAGAAGGAGGAGAGUUGACUUUUGCAUUUUUUUGAUUUUAAAGGGCCAAGAAAAAAAUAAACAAAUAUAAAAAAAAA